GGUUGAAGUGAUAAUCUCAUCUGGACAUACUCAGAAAUGCUGUUUAACCAGCUCUCUGGAAAUCCUGUGGCCCAGUCAAGUUGACACACAAAAUUAACCAUCACACUGCAGAGACACAGUCUAUCCCAAUACCUGUAUUUACUGGGUAACGUGCAUCUCAGCUCACCAGGCUGGUUUGAUUGACUUGGCCCAAAGCUGCCCUUUGAGUGUUGAGCCCCAGCUGACCCCUUUGAUCCUUCACAGCCCCAUCAUUAAAACAAGGACCCUGAAUCAAGUGACUGCCAACAGAGAUUUUGAGAAACACAUUGAAGGAUCUGUUAACACUUGAUAUACCCAAUAAAAGCAGUGGUUGUGCCAGUGCUGAUCUGUCUUGAUGUGAAUGUGAACAAUGGGAACCUGAGCUGAGCAGUUAAUGCUAGGGUGACAGAAACUGGACCUCUCCCAAGACAUGUGACAGAGUAAUACAGCAGCCAACUUCUUCGCCAAAUUAAAGUUUUACAAGAUUUAACCUGUCAUCAAGACCUGGGAUUUUGGUGAGCCAGUCUUGGUGCUCUGUGUUCACCUGGUUCAUCUGAGGAGCUGCAUCUACCCUGCCCAUGCCAUAGAUCCUGCCCUGUUUGCUUCUCCUGUUGCUGCUAGUGGACAUGAGGUAACCACAGCCUAGUUCUGUGAUAAGCUCUUCACACCUGUACCCAUAUGGACUGUGGGAGAGUUUCUCUGAUAUGGACUGUGAUGCGGAAAACUGCCAAAUUGUCUUCCAAAGUGGCUAUAUCAUUUUGCAUUCCCACCAACAAUGAGAGUCCCUGUUGCUCCAAAUCCUCUACCAGAAUUUGGUAUUCAUGUUUUGGAUUUCAGCAUUCUAAUAGAAGGACAGAAUAACGGGCUCCCAGAUUCACAAGCCCCACCAAGAGGAUCACCCCAGGAACGCUUGGAGGCUGAGGAGUUCACUGAGGCUACUGCAUCUUGAGACUCAGGAUGAAGACCCAGCUUGGGGCUGUCAAAGGUUUUUUGCAUGUCUGACACCCAUGACUCCACCUGGACCUUAUGGCUCCACCCAGAAGCAAUUCAGCCCAACAGGAGGACAGCUUCAACCCAUUACGAUUUCAUCUCUGCCCCAACCACUCAGCAGCAAGCACCUGUUACCUGUCCACCCCCACCCCUUCCCCCAAACUGCCUUUGAAAAAUCCCUAACCUAUGAGCUUUGAAUAAGAUGAGUACGAACUUCAUCGCCCACGUGGCGUGGCCGGCCUCGUGUCUAUUAAAUUCUUUUUCUACUAC
Long non-coding RNA from Homo sapiens (human), 1278 nucleotides. Ensembl annotates it as Pvt1 oncogene. Its record names the gene PVT1. Lineage: Eukaryota; Metazoa; Chordata; Mammalia; Primates; Hominidae. The record is from Ensembl.